CUGGUUGAUCCUGCCAGACCCGACUGCUAUCAGAGUGGGACUAAGCCAUGCGAGUCAACGUAGCAAUACGUGGCAUACGGCUCAGUAACACGUAGUCAACAUGCCCAGGGGACGAGGAUAACCUCGGGAAACUGAGGAUAAACCACGAUAGGUCAUGAUUUCUGGAAUGAUUCAUGGCUCAAACCUACAUGGCCCCUGGAUUGGACUGCGGCCGAUCAGGCUGUUGGUGAGGUAAUGGCCCACCAAACCUGUUACCGGUACGGGCUCUGAGAGGAGGAGCCCGGAGAUGGGCACUGAGACAAGGGCCCAGGCCCUAUGGGGCGCAGCAGGCGCGAAACCUCUGCAAUAGGCGAAAGCCUGACAGGGUUACUCUGAGUGAUUUCCGCUAAGGGAAUCUUUUGGCACCUCUAAAAAUGGUGCAGAAUAAGGGGUGGGCAAGUCUGGUGUCAGCCGCCGCGGUAAUACCAGCACCCCGAGUGGUCGGGACGAUUAUUGGGCCUAAAGCAUCCGUAGCCGGUCCUGCAAGUCUUCCGUUAAAUCCAGCUGCUUAACAGAUGGGCCGCGGGAGAUACUACAGGGCUAGGAGGCGGGAGAGGCAAGCGGUACUUUAUGGGUAGGGGUAAAAUCCGCUGAUCCAUAGAAGACCACCAGUGGCGAAGGCGGCUUGCCAGAACGCGCUCGACGGUGAGGGAUGAAAGCUGGGGGAGCAAACCGGAUUAGAUACCCGGGUAGUCCCAGCUGUAAACGAUGCAGACUCGGUGAUGGGUUGGCCUCGCGCCAACCCAGUGCCGCAGGGAAGCCGUUAAGUCUGCCGCCUGGGGAGUACGGUCGCAAGACUGAAACUUAAAGGAAUUGGCGGGGGAGCACCAC
Molecule: ribosomal RNA, 870 nt
Filed under: uncultured archaeon
Lineage: Archaea
Description: bacterial SSU rRNA
Rfam family: Archaeal small subunit ribosomal RNA
Source: RNAcentral